Long non-coding RNA from Mustela lutreola (European mink), 4555 nucleotides. RefSeq lists it as uncharacterized. The transcript is spliced from 5 exons. NCBI's taxonomy places the organism in Eukaryota, Metazoa, Chordata, Mammalia, Carnivora, Mustelidae. The record is from RefSeq and is a predicted model, not a curated record.
AGGGAGGUAUGCGCUGGCAGAGCAGGGCUUUCCUCGGGAGGUCUGAACCCAGAGAAGGGCUUCUGGAUCUCUCAUUCAGGGUUUUUCACAAGCUAGAAUUCCUGGUACUUUUCACUGGAGUGCCUUUUUGAAAGUGUGAGCGAUUUCGCACAUCUGUCCUUUCUUCAAGCCAUGCAAUUUCCGAGGGAAGGGCUGUUCCCAGUAACAGCAAACUGGGGCGUUAGGACUGCUCAACAUUUGGCCAGGUCAGGGAUACAAAAUGUCUCUUGGGAUUUUGCUGGAUGUGGAAGAGAAACUUCAGCAAAGCAUUUGGUCUUCGUUGGAACUUGAGUUUGUUAGGAGUUGGAAGAUAAAGAAGAAAGAACCAGCACGAAUCAGAGCCUCACUUUGCAAGAAGGGGUCUAAAGGAGAUAAAUGAUGUUGCAAACUCCAGUCUUCCAACUGUGUGGAGAAACUGGCUCCCCAGAGAGAAGAUGGGGCCCAUAGGACAUGCUAGCGUGGGGCGUGCUUGGCAAACAGAAGGUCUCAGCUUUCUUCUCCUUUGGGGUCUGACAAUGAAAGAGCACACUUGCUUUGUGAGCUGCUGCUGAGUCGUGACGUCAUGAUACGUGGGGUGCUGUCUAAUUCUCAUUAGAAGGCUACAUACUCGCUUUUUGGACGUAUGCGUGACACGACACAGGCUCUGGGGAGACGACUCUACCACAGAAUCUCAGAGAGGGAAGAGGAGAACACAGCCUAGGGCAUCGUUUUUCCAACCGGCUCAUUUAAGGAUGUAAGGUCUCCUCCAGCCUUAAGUUCUUUAGGAUUUGGUACACACCUAAGUCCCUAACAUCUUUGUAGUGCUGCAUCCCGCAGGUGUGUGAUAGAGUCUGGACCACUGACAUCGGAUGAUGGCCCUGGUGGCCCACACGGGACACGCCAUGCUCUCUCUCUGCAGUGGGACUUGGCAGCUCUUCUCAUCAAACAGCGGGAUAUAACCCCCCAGCUCUUGAAUCAAGGAAACUCUUGUGACUUUCUUUGGCCAAUAAAACCCACCAUAUGACAUACCAGUUCUCAAGAGGACAUGCUAAUUUCAGUUCUCUGUCUUGGACCUGUCUCUGCCAUAGAAUAAAACCAGGCUACCUUCCUGGAGGAUGAGAGCUCAUGUGAAAUAGAACUGGGUGACCCUGCUGAGGCCACCUGAGACCAGCCCUCCCACAGUCCACCCUCGGGUGAAGCUGGGAUCCCUGAGCUCAGGCCCGAUCAUCAGAACCUCCCAGCUGACCCACAGACUCAUGAACACAACUCUGGGGUUUUGUGGUGGUUUGUCACCUGGCAUUAUUGUAGUAAUAGGCACUGAUACAGCUACAUAACAGGUACCUUUCCUACAACUUCUCUUGCCUUCUGAGACUCGGGAUACAACGAGAGCUCUGCAGUUAGCCAGUCAUGUGAUCUUCUGCAGUUUCCUAACCCCUGAGCCUGUAAAACUGGUGAUACAUUAGGACCACAGACAUUCACGCCCAUGGUCAGAACCCUACAAAUGUUACCUAUUAAACACAACACAGCUGCGAGGUCAAAAUUGUAAGUCCACUUUCUGGAUAUCUGGGGCCCAGAGAUAAGAAGCCACAUUCAAGGCCACGUCACUGUUGUUAAUUUCAUAUAUGACAGAGAGAAAAAUACAUUUGCCCAAACCCAGGAAAGGGCCUAGUGAGACGGAAUUCCCAGGGUAGUGAAAACGUGGUAAAUCUCAAGGGAUGUCUAGGAUUCUUUGAACCAUAAUUGUGUGGCAAAUAAAUGCGUGUUGUCUCUGGGGCUCUGACAUUAGUCCUGCCCGUUUCUGAUCCCAGGAGCAGACACUGAAUUCCUUUUUGACAGUUUCUACGGAGGCAGCCAACAACAGUGCAAAGCGAAAGCUGACAUGGGGAAAAUCAUGGAACACAAUAAAAGGGAGAUGGGGCUCCAUCAACGGUCACUUGUAUUAGUUUCAAACUGGGAGUGGGGGAGGGGACAAGAAAGGAGGGCCGUGAGGAGUCAAGGGACUUCACUUUGUCCUGGAAACCUCCCUCCUGGUUACAGCCAGUGGCCGUGUGGCCACCGAUGUCCUAGGUCAAGGAGUUCAGGUUUCGGGAUGUUCGGAGUUGCACCUAACAAGGAGGGCUGCAUUAGAAUCACGUGAAAACUGCCAUGGUUCUGGAAAAUCGUUGUGUUGCAUCGGUUUACACAACUGCUGCACCGCUGAUGAGUAACUGCCUGGCCCGGGGGCUCUGACCGGACGACGGGGUGAUUCAGUGGGACGUGAUUUUCUGACCACGGAAGUGCCACACCACGCACACUGCCGACUGGCUGGGUUUUCUGCUCUGAGAACAGAUUCCAGAGCAAACACUGGCUGGGGGCUCCCGACAUGCCCCAUAUGCUCCCAACUACCUUACACAGAGUUAGUCCUCUUCCUUGCUAACGGUCUUUGAGUUGGGCAUUGUCACUGUCCUCGUUACACAGAUGGGGAACCUGAGCAUGUGGGGACAUGGACAGUGAGUGGCCAUGCCCGGAUUCCAGCCCAGAAAGUCUGGUUCCAAGCUGUAUGCCUGUUGACAGUGUUAACUGGGUUUUUAUAACCAUGCUUUAAUUUUCAAUGUCACCAUCUGAGGAACGUGUUGUGUAGAGUGGGGAGCGUGAACAGCUCUUCCACACAGGGCAGAAAGUGGGGGGACACGGUGAGAGCCAUUUUGGAUCAAAUGAUAAGGAGCUUUAGAAAUUACUGCCAAUCGUAAGGAUCAGGAGUGCCUUUUUGGAAGAAGCAGCUCAAAGUUUGGUCCUGAAGAAAGCAGGGAGGGAUUUGCAAGGGUAGAGGAUGAGGGGAAGGAAAUUCGAGGCAGAGGGAAAAACAGAAACAGACUGAGCGGGAGGGAGGCUUAGGGGGGACCUGAGCAGUUUUGAUCUGCUGAAGCUGAAGAUGGGGAGGCAGCGUGGGGUCAGUGAGGCUCAGAAUGCUGGAUUAUGUAAUGCUGUAGAGACUGCUGGACUGUUGGAGUUGACUUAUCAGAAGAACGAGGAGACAGGAGAGAUCUAUGAGCAGGAGUUUGGAAUGAUUGGCAAAUUCCUGCAGAAGACUGACUCGGCAGGCUUCCGUCUCUUGUGAUGAUGUGUGGGAAGCACUGCCGCGGGGAGAGACCGGGGGCGCGCAGACCAGCAAGGGGCCGGGAACAGUAACUGACGUUUGGGGCACUACUGGCAUUCUGGACGGGACAUUCCUUCCUUAUAAGAGACCUCCCUGAACGUCACAGGGUUUUACCAUCUUUGGGUUUCAGAUAGUCACUGUGGGUAGUGGCCCCCUCCAGCCAUCACUGCAACAAACAGAAGCAUCUCAUCUUCUCCAAGUGCCUCCUGCCAUUAGAUUAGAAACAUCUGGCCCCGGAACUAACAGGAAAUAAAGAGGAGAUGACAGAGAUGAGGAAGUGACACUGCUUUGGAAAACUGUCUGGGUUUUUACAGGGGUUGGGGAAGACUGAUCUCAAUGGGGUAAUUGAGAGGCCAUCCUAAAGAAAUAGCUUCAGAAAUGGAUGGAAUAGGGACACCUGGGUGGCUCAGUGGGUUAAGCCUCUGCCAUCUGCUCAGGUCAUGGUCCUAGGGUCCUAGCAUCGAGUCUCACAUCAGGCUUGUUGCUCAGCAGAGAGCCUGCUUCUCCCUCUGCCUGCCACUCCCCCUGUGUGCGCGCUCUAACAAAUAAAUAAAAUCUUAAAAAAAAAAAAAAAAAAAAGAAGUGGACAGAAUAAAAAAUCCACAGGGAAAACCAAAGUUUUCAUCCUGAGUCCUCAUCCUCUCCAACAAUUCUGUGUUAAAAUAUUUUGUCGGGCCGCCUGCGUGGCUCAGUUGUUGAGCAUCUGCCUUCAGUUAGGUCAUGAUCCCAGGGUCCUGGGAUCGAGCCCCACAUAGGGUUCUCUGGUCGGCGGGAAGCCUGCUUCUCCCUCUCCCACUCCCCCUGCUUGUCUUCACUCUCUUGCUAUGUCUCUCUCUGUCAAAUAAAUAAAAUAUUUUUUAAAAAUUGAAAAAAAUUGUCUCAAAAGAUGUAUAAAAGGGGCAGGCACCAAACCCUACCACAGAGGGAAUUUCUGCCAAAUGUUGAACUCUGUUCUUGUAAUAUCCUUUCGGAGCUCUGAAAAACUGCAGUGUGGACCAACACCCUUUUUCUAGCCAAACGACCUGGAAUUAACAGCUCUCAGUUGCUUCACCACCGUUGCCAAAUUUUGGGUGAGCUAUGAUGUAUUCAGUAAGACAGUUUACUUCUGUCAAAGACAAAUGAUGACAUUUGUGAUAAGUUAAGUAUAGCUUGAUUUAUUAUAAUUAAAACAUAUCAAUUAAGUGCUGGCCUCCAUGAUUAUCUGAGUUAAUAUAUACUUUUAUUUUGGUUUGAUUUACAGGUACACCUCACUUUACUCAGAAAUAAUGUAUUUUUUACCAAUGGAAUAGAGUUGAGUUAGAAGGUUCAUCUUCCAACUGACAGCUGUGUCCUUAGACAAGUCACUUUAGUUUUUCUAUUGCAAAUUGGCAUCAAUGAGACCUUACCUGCUCCUCAGGACUG